This 88-nucleotide microRNA precursor is filed under the name Lucilia cuprina (Australian sheep blowfly). Its description in RNAcentral is "mir-276 microRNA precursor family". It matches the Rfam family "mir-276 microRNA precursor family". The record is from Rfam by way of RNAcentral. Lineage: Eukaryota; Metazoa; Arthropoda; Insecta; Diptera; Calliphoridae.
CGCCUUUAUUGCCAUAAGCGAGGUAUAGAGUUCCUACGUUCAUUUAAACUUUCGUAGGAACUUAAUACCGUGCUCUUGGAGGGCUGUU